UACGAAGGUCCCAAGCGUUAUCCGGAUUUAUUGGGCUUAAAGGGUGCGUAGGCGGGUUAUUAAGUCAGUGGUGAAAGCCUGCAGCUUAACUGCAGAAUUGCCAUUGAUACUGAUGAUCUUGAGUAUGAUUGAGGUGGGCGGAAUGUGUCAUGUAGCGGUGAAAUGCUUAGAUAUGACACAGAACACCGAUGGCGAAGGCAGCUCACUAAGUCAUAACUGACGCUGAUGCACGAAAGCGUGGGGAGCAAACAGG
This 253-nucleotide ribosomal RNA is filed under the name uncultured bacterium. Its description in RNAcentral is "partial 16S ribosomal RNA". It matches the Rfam family "Bacterial small subunit ribosomal RNA", at positions 524 to 776 of the family's 1533-position model. The record is from RNAcentral.